RNAcentral lists this ribosomal RNA (327 nucleotides) under Bugilliesia mirandei. RNAcentral's name for it is "partial 12S ribosomal RNA". The record is from RNAcentral. Lineage: Eukaryota; Metazoa; Arthropoda; Insecta; Ephemeroptera; Baetidae.
ACUAUCCUGUCGUAAAAUUAACCUGGGUAGUACUAGUUAACCUUGAAACCCAAAGAAUUUGGCGGCGACUCGCCUCCUUAGAGGAUUCUGCCCCAUAAUUUGACGACCCACGAUAAACCCUACGCCACCCCAAAGCUUGUAUACCGCCGUGUAGGACCUAUUUUAAAAUAUGUUCUUAAUAGAAUUAUCUAAAAUCUCAGGUCAAGGUGCAGCCUAUGAUGGUGAGGAGGUGGAAUACAUUAGCCAAAGCUGUGAAUGUUUAGAAGAAUAUUAAACUGCAACUGGAUUUAAAAGUAAGGCUGACCAUAUAUUAGCCUGAACGAGUUC